UACAGAGGGUGCAAGCGUUAAUCGGAAUUAUUGGGCGUAAAGAGCUUGUAGGCGGUUUGUCGCGUCUGCCGUGAAAUUUCGAGGCUCAACCUCGAACUUGCGGUGGGUACGGGCAGACUAGAGUGUGGUAGGGGAGACUGGAAUUCCUGGUGUAGCGGUGAAAUGCGCAGAUAUCAGGAGGAACACCGAUGGCGAAGGCAGGUCUCUGGGCCACUACUGACGCUGAGAAGCGAAAGCAUGGGGAGCGAACAGG
This 253-nucleotide ribosomal RNA is filed under the name uncultured bacterium. Its description in RNAcentral is "partial 16S ribosomal RNA". It matches the Rfam family "Bacterial small subunit ribosomal RNA", at positions 524 to 776 of the family's 1533-position model. The record is from RNAcentral.